RNAcentral lists this unclassified non-coding RNA (200 nucleotides) under Acrodontium sp. RNAcentral's name for it is "partial internal transcribed spacer 2". The record is from RNAcentral. Lineage: Eukaryota; Fungi; Ascomycota; Dothideomycetes; Mycosphaerellales; Teratosphaeriaceae.
UUAAGUUCAGCGGGUAUCCCUACCUGAUCCGAGGUCAACCUGUAAAAAAAGGUUUAACGGCGCGCGCCGUCUGAUCCCGUGAGCGAAUUGAAGAUUCACAACGCUCGGAGACAGACGACUCGGCCGGCGACAUUAGGGCGCGCGACGGGCGCGACGCCCAAUACCAAGCCAGGCUUGAGUGGUGUAAUGACGCUCGAACA